AGUGAGCAGCAAGGAACAAUAGGCCCAAGUGAAGCCACAGUGAUGGAUCUUAUUGCAAACCACAGCUUUAAAAAUUCCCCAUUAAAUGCCAAGAUUCUUCACGGAGGGAAGGAACUAAGAUGCCUAUUGAUAAAUACAGACAUUGGAUGACCUCAUCGCCUCUGUCUCCCUCUACCCGCCAGAGUGUCUCUCCGGGUCCCUGGGUAAUUGUGACACUAACAGACUUCUUUGUGGACCAGUCAUUAAUUUUAAUUUAAAAAUUCUUGGAACUGCAUCUGAACUCAAAGGAUUCGACCAAGAAUUAUUGAGGGGUAAAUGGAGAGUCAUGCAGAAGUGACCUUGGUUUCUGAUCUUCACGCCAGAGCCAGAUGUCCUGAUUAAGGAGCAAAUGAAGUUUGGGAAAGAGCCAACUGAUAGAAGAUGCUUCUGUUGGACCAGGAGACUUCAAAAAAAAAAAAAAUUAAUCCAAUUUUAUGUAAGUGAUUUCCUCUCCACCUGGUACGGCAGGAAAUAUAAUCUCCCGGGAAGGACGGAGUUGAAGAUUUUCCAGUUGCCACUUUUUCCUGUGCUAGAGACAAUUUUACUUCAAAGGCAUAGACUAGGGGGAAGGUCAAUGGAUUUGACUAGCUGGUGUCCUGCACCCUUUCUGAGGAACACCUGUAGGGGGCAGCCCUUCGGGCAAAGAAAGCUUUCCCUGGGCCCUGUCUGCUGGGCUGGAGGGCCCUGUGCUAGCGGCAGGGGUGGGGAGCAUGCCACUGCUCCCCUGGCUGAAUCUAGCACAAAACAGGAUUUGCCAAGCUGUGCUGAAUGACAUUCCAAUGGAAAAUGGAAGAUUCCGGAGUUCCCGUCGUGGUGCAGUGGUUAAUGAAUCCGACUAGGAACCAUGAGGUUGCGGGUUCGAUCCCUGCCCUUGCUCAGUGGGUUAACGAUCCGGCGUUGCCGUGAGCUGUGGUGUAGGUUGCAGACGUGGCUCGGAUCCCGCAUUGCUGUGGCUCUGGCGUAGGCCGGUGGCUACAGCUCCGAUUCAACCCCUAGCCUGGGAACCUCCAUAUGCCGCAGGAGCGGCCCAAGAAAUAGCAACAACAACAACAACAACAACAAAACAACAA
RNAcentral lists this long non-coding RNA (1109 nucleotides) under Sus scrofa (pig). Its description in RNAcentral is "lncRNA (ENSSSCG00000061538.1, ENSSSCG00025013430.1)". Lineage: Eukaryota; Metazoa; Chordata; Mammalia; Artiodactyla; Suidae. The record is from RNAcentral.